CAUAUCAAUAAGCGGAGGAAAAGAAACCAACAGGGAUUGCCCUAGUAACGGCGAGUGAAGCGGCAACAGCUCAAAUUUGAAAUCUGGCGUCUUUGGCGUCCGAGUUGUAAUUUGCAGAGGGCGCUUUGGCAUUGGCAGCGGUCCAAGUUCCUUGGAACAGGACGUCACAGAGGGUGAGAAUCCCGUACGUGGUCGCUAGCCUUUACCGUGUAAAGCCCCUUCGACGAGUCGAGUUGUUUGGGAAUGCAGCUCUAAAUGGGAGGUAAAUUUCUUCUAAAGCUAAAUACUGGCCAGAGACCGAUAGCGCACAAGUAGAGUGAUCGAAAGAUGAAAAGCACUUUGGAAAGAGAGUUAAAAAGCACGUGAAAUUGUUGAAAGGGAAGCGCUUGCAGCCAGACUUGCCUGUAGUUGCUCAUCUAGGUUUCUACCUAGUGCACUCUUCUAUAGGCAGGCCAGCAUCAGUUUGGGCGGUUGGAUAAAGGUCUCUGUCAUGUACCUCUCUUCGGGGAGAACUUAUAGGGGAGACGACAUGCAACCAGCCUGGACUGAGGUCCGCGCAUCUGCUAGGAUGCUGGCGUAAUGGCUGUAAGCGGCCCGUCUUGAAACACGGACCAAGGAGUCUAACAUCUAUGCGAUGUUGGGU
This 643-nucleotide ribosomal RNA is filed under the name Phoma sp. C2/14. Its description in RNAcentral is "LSU rRNA". It matches the Rfam family "Eukaryotic large subunit ribosomal RNA", at positions 39 to 699 of the family's 3401-position model. Lineage: Eukaryota; Fungi; Ascomycota; Dothideomycetes; Pleosporales; Didymellaceae. The record is from RNAcentral.